Myotis lucifugus (little brown bat) is the source of this 74-nucleotide non-coding RNA. Lineage: Eukaryota; Metazoa; Chordata; Mammalia; Chiroptera; Vespertilionidae. The record is from Rfam.
GGUGGGGGGGGGGGGGCCCUCAGCCUUCAUUGCAAGAGGGUGCAGGCCAGGCUGGGGGACCCCACCAGUGCACA